UGAGAAUAAUACCCCAUAAGCCACUAUGCCUGGAACGGUUUGUGGCCAAAAGCCCCGGCGGCGUAGGAUGGGUCUGCGGCGUAUCAGGUUGUAGUGGGUGUAAUGUACCUACUAGCCUUCAACGCGUACGGGUUGUGGGAGCAAUCGCCCGGAGAUGGAUUCUGAGACACUAAUCCAGACCCUACGGGGUGCAGCAGGCGCGAAAACUUCACACUGCAGGAAACUGUGAUGAGGGAACUCCAAGUGGUACCACGAAUGUGGUAUCCUUUUCUUGACUCUUAACAGGUCUUGGAAUAAGGGGUGGGAAAGACCGGUGCCAGCCGCCGCGGUAAUACCGGCACCUCAAGUGGUCGUCGCUUUUAUUGGGCCUAAAACGUCCGUAGCCGGUUUGGUAAACCCGUGGGUAAAUCAACCAGCUUAACUGGUUGAAUUCUGCGGAGACUACCAAACUUGGAACCGGGAGAGGUGUGAGGAACUCUUGGGGUAGGGGUAAAAUUUGUUUAUCCCAGGGGGACCACCUGUUGCGAAGGCGUCACACUAGAACGGAUUCGACGGUCAGGGACGAAGCCUAGGGGCACGAACCGGAUUAGAUACCCGGGUAGUCCUAGGUGUAAACGCUGUGGA
RNAcentral lists this ribosomal RNA (624 nucleotides) under uncultured archaeon. Its description in RNAcentral is "bacterial SSU rRNA". It matches the Rfam family "Archaeal small subunit ribosomal RNA", at positions 141 to 766 of the family's 1478-position model. The record is from RNAcentral.